UACGGAGGAUGCAAGCGUUACUCGGAAUCACUGGGCGUAAAGGGCGCGUAGGCGGCCUAGCAAGUCUGGUGUGAAAGCCCAGGGCUCAACCCUGGAAGGGCACUGGAAACUGUUAGGCUUGAGUUCCGGAGAGGAGGGGGGAAGUCCCGGUGUAGCGGUGAAAUGCGUAGAUAUCGGGAGGAAUACCGGUGGCGAAGGCGCCCCUCUGGCCGGAAACUGACGCUGAGGCGCGAAAUCGUGGGGUGCAAACAGG
This 253-nucleotide ribosomal RNA is filed under the name uncultured bacterium. RNAcentral's name for it is "partial 16S ribosomal RNA". It matches the Rfam family "Bacterial small subunit ribosomal RNA", at positions 524 to 776 of the family's 1533-position model. The record is from RNAcentral.